CUCUCGCGACCUCACCCCCUCCCCUCUGUCCACCACCUCUCCCCCACGAUCUCCUCCCCGCAGGCACCACCCAUGCCGGCCAGUUCCGGCGAGCUCCGGCCACGCGCCACACGCCCAUCUCCUUUCCCGACACGCCUCUGCCCGCUCUACCAUCUCUGCCCGAUGGAUUUAACGCUCGCAGCCUCUCCGGCGUUCAAGCGCGACCCACCGGCUCCGGCGGCUAACCCUACAAGAGGCACUGCCGAUGGGGCGGCGGGGGUCGACCGGAAGGGCACGGGGACGCUGCCGCCCAAGGCCAUUCUUUUUCCUCCGGGCUCCGCGGGCAGCAGCAGCAGCCCCUCCGUCCACUGUGCUGCGGCAUUGAGAGCCGGGGCCUUCGCAGCUGGGGGAGCCGAGCUCUACGGCGGGCGGCGGGGAGGCGCGGGUGUUGUGGGACGGCCCCGUGGUGGCGGAGACGGUGGAGGCACCCAACGCGGCGGCGCAUCCGUUCGACCCCAAGCUGGUGUCCAGCCGGCCGCCGGCAAGCAGUUCAACUCAUUGCACACCGAAGAGGCGAUGUGUAGGAAUGUGGAAUUGUGAUCUCUAAGUCUGUUCAAAUCUUGGAGUUGUGGAUAAUUUAGUGGUAGAAACGGAAUCAAAUCUGGGCAAAUGUUAGGGACACUUUGACGAUUAGGCAUUUUCUGAUUAUUACUCGAGCUCUUCUUGCGGCCCGUUAUCAAAUUUAGAGGUUACUGUUAUACAUGGAAAUCUAAGUGCCUUUCAGGAGGAAAUACAAUCAGUUCACCAUGUUGUCCGCACUCUGGAUAUAAAGCUUGGACGCCUUGCAUAUACUCAAAUAAGAUCACACAACACGAGGAAUACAUGAGUUAUGUGAGUUCACUAAAAGAUUGGAUCGGAGUCCAAAAGCUGAUACUCUUAAGG
Molecule: RNA transcript, 921 nt
Organism: Triticum dicoccoides
Lineage: Eukaryota; Viridiplantae; Streptophyta; Magnoliopsida; Poales; Poaceae
Gene name: translation initiation factor IF-2-like
Exons: 5
Source: RefSeq, a predicted model, not a curated record